Molecule: long non-coding RNA, 330 nt
Organism: Peromyscus maniculatus bairdii (prairie deer mouse)
Lineage: Eukaryota; Metazoa; Chordata; Mammalia; Rodentia; Cricetidae
Source: RefSeq, a predicted model, not a curated record
GCAUGCUAACAUCCGCUUCCUCUGGAAAGUACACAAAGAAAACGAUCCCAACGAUAUGGAACAAGCUUAGGGGAGAGACUGUAAGCCAUCAACUGGAGGAUUCUGAGGACAUGUAGCUCCCAUGUACUCAUCCCUCAAUUAUUAAUUGAAACAUCAGGAGUCUUCUGGAGCACCCGGGGAGUUAUGACAUCAGUUGUAACACAGGAGUUUUUGAAGAGACCUAAAGGUCUACUGCAGGUUACCAUAGUUGCAGUGCUCGUGAUUGCAGCCUCCAUUCAUGUGGAAGUGAUUCCAAUGGAAAGACAGGAAGUAACUUUCAUUCAUAGUGAU